AGUGAACGCUGGCGGUAGGCCUAACACAUGCAAGUCGAACGGCAGCACAGUAAGAGCUUGCUCUUACGGGUGGCGAGUGGCGGACGGGUGAGGAAUACAUCGGAAUCUACUUUUUCGUGGGGGAUAACGUAGGGAAACUUACGCUAAUACCGCAUACGACCUACGGGUGAAAGCAGGGGAUCUUCGGACCUUGCGCGAUUGAAUGAGCCGAUUUCGGAUUAGCUAGUUGGCGGGGUAAAGGCCCACCAAGGCGACGAUCCGUAGCUGGUCUGAGAGGAUGAUCAGACACACGGGAACUGAAAAACGGUACAGACACCUAGGGGAGGCAGGAGGGGGGAAUAUUGGAAAAGGGGCGCAAGCCUGAUCCAGCCAUACCGGGUGGGUGAAGAAGGCCUUCGGGUUGUAAAGCCCUUUUUGGGGGAAAAAAAAGCAGCAGGUUAAAACCCCGCUGUUCUGAGGGUACCAAAAAAAAAAGCACCGGCUAACUUCGU
RNAcentral lists this ribosomal RNA (491 nucleotides) under uncultured bacterium. RNAcentral describes it as "partial 16S ribosomal RNA". It matches the Rfam family "Bacterial small subunit ribosomal RNA", at positions 29 to 506 of the family's 1533-position model. The record is from RNAcentral.